Molecule: long non-coding RNA, 408 nt
Organism: Xenopus tropicalis (tropical clawed frog)
Lineage: Eukaryota; Metazoa; Chordata; Amphibia; Anura; Pipidae
Exons: 4
Source: RefSeq, a predicted model, not a curated record
UGUCUCCUCAGUGCUCUCUGCUGCCCCCAAGUGGCCGGUAUCUCCCCUAUAAAUACCCGCUCAGAGGGGCAGGCCGGCCUUUAUAAAAUGGCUUCUCUCAGAGCAACUGGUUUCCUUUUGGUGAAAGGCCCAGAAAUACAUGGAUACAAAGAGAAAUAAAGAGCAAAGGAUCUGAGAUUCUCUGUUCACUGAAACAGAUGCCUCGGCCGGUGACUCCCCAUAAAGGAGAGUGAGAGGACGGAGACGGGGGGCGGCACAGUUAUGGGGGGAGCUCGCUGGGUGAGAUCCUACUAAGGCCCCUUCCAAUCACAAUGAAGGAUUCUCUGUCUAAAUUGUAUUUCUGCAAAUUGUAAUGUUGUUAGAACUGUGUGUUUUGGAAAUUUUGUAUUAAACCUUUUUACAAUCUUU